This is a non-coding RNA of Salmo salar (Atlantic salmon), 54 nucleotides long. NCBI's taxonomy places the organism in Eukaryota, Metazoa, Chordata, Actinopteri, Salmoniformes, Salmonidae. The record is from Rfam.
UGCAUUCACUACUGUAAGUAUCUCUGGAUAAGAGCGUCUGCUAAAUGACUAAAA